Molecule: ribosomal RNA, 495 nt
Filed under: uncultured bacterium
Lineage: Bacteria
Description: partial 16S ribosomal RNA
Rfam family: Bacterial small subunit ribosomal RNA
Source: RNAcentral
GAUGAACGCUGGCGGCGUGCCUAAUACAUGCAAGUAGAACGCUGAAGGAGGAGCUUGCUCUUCUGGAUGAGUUGCGCACGGGUGAGUAACGCGUAGGUAACCUGCCUGUUAGCGGGGGAUAACUAUUGGAAACGAUAGCUAAUACCGCAUGACAACAGUUAUUGCAUGAUAACUGUUUAAAAGGGGCAACUGCUCCACUACCAGAUGGACCUGCGUUGUAUUAGCUAGUUGGUGAGGUAACGGCUCACCAAGGCGACGAUACAUAGCCGACCUGAGAGGGGGAUCGGCCAACCUGGGACUGAGACACGGCCCAGACUCCUACGGGGGGCAGCAGUAGGGAAUCUUCGGCAAUGGACGGAAGUCUGACCGAGCAACGCCGCGUGAGUGAAGAAGGUUUUCGGAUCGUAAAGCUCUGUUGUAAGAGAAGAACGAGUGUGGGAGUGGAAAGUUCACACUGUGACGGUAUCUUACCAGAAAGGGACGGCUAACUACGUG